This is an unclassified non-coding RNA of Fukomys damarensis (Damara mole-rat), 126 nucleotides long. NCBI's taxonomy places the organism in Eukaryota, Metazoa, Chordata, Mammalia, Rodentia, Bathyergidae. The record is from Ensembl.
UCCUUGGGAGAAUGGGCUUGGUGCUUUACAGUGCUAGUGACCUAUUCCCCUUGAUAGUCUCUAGGUGGAGAUGGGGCAUGAGGGUUCUCCAGGGGAAAAGCUCACCAUCACUGGGCAACAGCCUUA